AGAAGCCAAACAUUGCAUCUUUUCAGACAAUUUUCCUAACAGUACAGCUUCGUUUUCUUCUAACAACUGAGACAGGGAUUCUGAAAAUGUUUGGAAGGGUACGAGGCAGUCUGCACAAGGAGCUCCCCACUACUGCCCUCACCUACAUUUUCAUGGCUGCAGAUAACAAGGUGCUCUCAUGAGAAAUGCCAGAGGGGUGCUGGAAUACUAGAGGAAACAGCAAUGAAGAGACAGAAACUGGAUAUACAAUGGACUAGUCAAGAAUAAGGGCCAGAUGCCCUAAAUUGGUACUGCUCCGUUGCCCUCCGUACUGAUUUACAGAAGACAAGGAUCUGGCUGAAACCCUUCAAAAGCCCUGACUGCUUCGCUUUGCUGUUUCGUGGACUGGUCACCAAACAUUGCUGGAGAGAAGAAGCUACACACAGCUACCCUAGACCCCAGACUGUGGUUGCCCAGAGAAGCCUGACGACCUUCUGGCUGGUACUGAUGGUGGAGCUGAGGUGACUGCACUGAUUUCCCUCUAUCCAUCAAAAGAUUGCCUUGUCCCGAGGAUGAAGGUUUUUGGAUCAGCCUGGACUUUGCUCCCAACUGCCUUUCCUGGUCCUUCUGUUAUGGGGAC
Molecule: long non-coding RNA, 619 nt
Filed under: Numida meleagris (helmeted guineafowl)
Lineage: Eukaryota; Metazoa; Chordata; Aves; Galliformes; Numididae
Description: lncRNA (ENSNMEG00000014745.1)
Source: RNAcentral